Long non-coding RNA from Cygnus atratus (black swan), 305 nucleotides. RefSeq lists it as uncharacterized. Lineage: Eukaryota; Metazoa; Chordata; Aves; Anseriformes; Anatidae. The transcript is spliced from 3 exons. The record is from RefSeq and is a predicted model, not a curated record.
AACUCUACCUGGAUAGCACCCUCCAACAACAACAACAAAGACACAUCACAUUGCUCCCUCUUCUUCCUUGCUUCUCCCUGGGGACUUUGAAUUCACUGUGUGCUUCCAAAUGUAGAAGGGAGUGAUGCCUCCAUCUAACAGUCAACACCUUACACCAGCAAGGCACUAGCUGAUGUUCUGUAAGGCUAGGUACGUUGGAAAUCACUAAGUGCAAAUGACAGUGCAGCAAAACCAUCCAUCGUGGGCAGCACUGGAGGGCCUGUCCUAGGCGUGCAGCAUCAACACCUUGAAGGUGCAUCAGUCCC